Molecule: ribosomal RNA, 433 nt
Filed under: uncultured bacterium
Lineage: Bacteria
Description: partial 16S ribosomal RNA
Rfam family: Bacterial small subunit ribosomal RNA
Source: RNAcentral
AACGAACGCUGGCGGCAGGCCUAACACAUGCAAGUCGAGCGAGAUCUUCGGGUCUAGCGGCGGACGGGUGAGUAACGCGUGGGAAUAUGCCUCUUGGUACGGAAUAGCCUCGGGAAACUGGGAGUAAUACCGUAUGUGCCCUUUGGGGGAAAGAUUUAUCGCCAAGAGAUUAGCCCGCGUUGGAUUAGGUAGUUGGUGGGGUAAUGGCCUACCAAGCCGACGAUCCAUAGCUGGUUUGAGAGGAUGAUCAGCCACACUGGGACUGAGACACGGCCCAGACUCCUACGGGAGGCAGCAGUGGGGAAUCUUAGACAAUGGGGGCAACCCUGAUCUAGCCAUGCCGCGUGAGUGAUGAAGGCCUUAGGGUUGUAAAGCUCUUUCAGCUGGAAAGAUAAUGACGGUACCAGCAGAAGAAGCCCCGGCUAACUCCGUG